RNAcentral lists this ribosomal RNA (253 nucleotides) under uncultured bacterium. Its description in RNAcentral is "partial 16S ribosomal RNA". It matches the Rfam family "Bacterial small subunit ribosomal RNA", at positions 524 to 776 of the family's 1533-position model. The record is from RNAcentral.
UACGGAGGGAGCUAGCGUUGUUCGGAAUCACUGGGCGUAAAGGGUGCGUAGGCGGUUCUUUAAGUCAGGGGUGAAAUCCUGGAGCUCAACUCCAGAACUGCCUUUGAUACUGAAGAUCUUGAGUUCGGGAGAGGUGAGUGGAACUGCGAGUGUAGAGGUGAAAUUCGUAGAUAUUCGCAAGAACACCAGUGGCGAAGGCGGCUCACUGGCCCGAUACUGACGCUGAGGCACGAAAGCGUGGGGAGCAAACAGG